AAGGACUUAGGCUAAAAUUUAGACCAAGGGCCUUCAAAGCCCUCAGUGGGGGUGAGAGUCCUCCAGUCCUUG
Molecule: transfer RNA, 72 nt
Filed under: Bathygadus favosus
Lineage: Eukaryota; Metazoa; Chordata; Actinopteri; Gadiformes; Macrouridae
Description: tRNA-Trp
Rfam family: tRNA
About the family: Transfer RNA (tRNA) molecules are approximately 80 nucleotides in length. Their secondary structure includes four short double-helical elements and three loops (D, anti-codon, and T loops). Further hydrogen bonds mediate the characteristic L-shaped molecular structure. tRNAs have two regions of fundamental functional importance: the anti-codon, which is responsible for specific mRNA codon recognition, and the 3' end, to which the tRNAs corresponding amino acid is attached (by aminoacyl-tRNA synthetases). tRNAs cope with the degeneracy of the genetic code in two manners: having more than one tRNA (with a specific anti-codon) for a particular amino acid; and 'wobble' base-pairing, i.e. permitting non-standard base-pairing at the 3rd anti-codon position.
Source: RNAcentral